This 272-nucleotide unclassified non-coding RNA is filed under the name Hevea brasiliensis (rubber tree). Lineage: Eukaryota; Viridiplantae; Streptophyta; Magnoliopsida; Malpighiales; Euphorbiaceae. The record is from RNAcentral.
AAAAAAUUGAGAUUUUGUGCAAGCAUUUACAUUUAUGAAAUUGUGGUUUUUUUUUUCCCUUUUUCCGCAGGAGUUAGAGGUCACUAUCCUAUUUUAAAUUUUAACUAACUAUUUUUCUAUAGUUACUAACUGAUUUCUAGCCACCACUCCUGACUCAACCAAAUGUACGAGUUGCCACGUGUCGCCUAGCCCAAUCAAAAUUGACCACCCGUCCCCGUGAAACCAAAAAAUACUUUUAUGUCCAACGUAAAACAUACCAUCUGCCAUCCUAU